GAGGGUAUAGCCCCAGUGGUAGAGUGCAUGCUUAGCAUGCACGAGGUCCUGGGUUCGAUCCCCAGUACCUCCU
RNAcentral lists this transfer RNA (73 nucleotides) under Camelus bactrianus (Bactrian camel). It matches the Rfam family "tRNA". From Rfam's summary of the family: Transfer RNA (tRNA) molecules are approximately 80 nucleotides in length. Lineage: Eukaryota; Metazoa; Chordata; Mammalia; Artiodactyla; Camelidae. The record is from Rfam by way of RNAcentral. RNAcentral also lists the same sequence under 1 other name.